AUGUCAAGUAACUGAGCAUUAUCAUCAGUACCCAACUUGGUAUAAGCAUUCUUAGCAGAUUCAACUCCCCAAGAUUUGGGCUUUUUGUUCAGAACCUGAGACAAAACAAAUGGAACAGCCAAUGCAGCAACUCCACCGGAAAUAACCAAUGGAUUGUCCGUGACAAAAUUGGAUAUCCCUUCAAUCAGACCAUCCGAAUCAAAAGAUGAAGAAGUGGUCAUAGAUUGUUGCAAAGCUUCCUCGUACGUCAGAGAUUUAGCAGGAGCUGUUGCACUGCUUAGAACAGAGGUUAGAAGAGCCAAUCCACCAUUGAAUCU
RNAcentral lists this long non-coding RNA (317 nucleotides) under Arabidopsis lyrata. RNAcentral's name for it is "long non-coding RNA (ALYR_LNC001500)". Lineage: Eukaryota; Viridiplantae; Streptophyta; Magnoliopsida; Brassicales; Brassicaceae. The record is from RNAcentral.